Molecule: ribosomal RNA, 460 nt
Filed under: uncultured bacterium
Lineage: Bacteria
Description: partial 16S ribosomal RNA
Rfam family: Bacterial small subunit ribosomal RNA
Source: RNAcentral
CCUACGGGUGGCAGCAGUGAGGGAUAUUGGUCAAUGGACGAGAGUCUGAACCAGCCAAGUAGCGUGAAGGAUGACUGCCCUAUGGGUUGUAAGCUUCUUUUAUAUGGGAGUAGAACAGAGUAUGCAUACACUCUUGUAUGUCCCAUAUGGAUAAGGAUCGGCUAACUCCGUGCAAGAAGCCGCGGUAAUCCGGAGGGUCCGAGCGUUAUCCGGAUUUAUGGGGUUUAAAGGGAGCGUAGAUGGGUUGUUAAGUCAGUUGUGAAAGUUUGCGGCUAAACCGUAAAAUUGCAAUUGAUACUGGCAGGCUUGAGUACAGGUGAGGUAAGCGGAAUUCGUGGUGUAGCGGUGAAAUGCUUAGAUAUCACGAAGAACCCCGAUGGCGAAGGCAGCUUACUAAACUGUGACUGACAUUGAUGCUCGAAAGUGUGGGUAUCAAACAGGAUUAGAUACCCGGGUAGUC